GAUGAACGCUGGCGGCGUGCCUAAUACAUGCAAGUCGAGCGAACGGACGAGAAGCUUGCUUCUCUGAUGUUAGCGGCGGACGGGUGAGUAACACGUGGAUAACCUACCUAUAAGACUGGGAUAACUUCGGGAAACCGGAGCUAAUACCGGAUGAUAUUUUGAACCGCAUGGUUCAAAAGUGAAAGACGGUCUUGCUGUCACUUAUAGAUGGAUCCGCGCUGCAUUAGCUAGUUGGUAAGGUAACGGCUUACCAAGGCAACGAUGCAUAGCCGACCUGAGAGGGUGAUCGGCCACCCUGGACCUGAGACACGUUCCAGACUCCUACGGGAGGAAGCAGUGGGAAAUCUUCCGCAAUGGCGAAAGCCUGACGGAGCAACGCCGCGUGAGUGAUGAAGGUCUUCGGAUCGUAAAACUCUGUUAUUAGGGAAGAACAUAUGUGUAAGUAACUGUGCACAUCUUGACGGUACCUAAUCAGAAAGCCACGGCUAACUACGUG
Molecule: ribosomal RNA, 496 nt
Filed under: uncultured bacterium
Lineage: Bacteria
Description: partial 16S ribosomal RNA
Rfam family: Bacterial small subunit ribosomal RNA
Source: RNAcentral